RNAcentral lists this ribosomal RNA (467 nucleotides) under uncultured bacterium. Its description in RNAcentral is "bacterial SSU rRNA". It matches the Rfam family "Bacterial small subunit ribosomal RNA", at positions 355 to 825 of the family's 1533-position model. The record is from RNAcentral.
UGGGGAAUAUUGGGCAAUGCCCGAAAGGGUGACCCAGCAACGCCGCGUGGAGGAUGAAUGCCGUAAGGUUGUAAACUCCUGUUAGAGGGGAAGAAAAAUCUCGAUCAAAUCGGGAACUGACUGUACCCUCAGAGAAAGCCCCGGCUAACUACGUGCCAGCAGCCGCGGUAAUACGUAGGGGGCAAGCGUUGUCCGGAUUCACUGGGUGUAAAGGGCGCGCAGGCGGGUUAGCAAGUCAGAGGUGAAAUCCUACAGCUUAACUGUAGAACUGCCUUUGAGACUGCUAAUCUUGAGUACGGAAGAGAGAGAUGGAAUUCCAGGUGUAGUGGUGAAAUACGUAGAUAUCUGGAAGAACACCAGUGGCGAAGGCGGUCUCUUGGUCCUAUACUGACGCUAAGGCGCGAAAGCGUGGGGAGCAAACAGGAUUAGAUACCCACGUAGUCCCUGAGCGGGCUGGCAAGGCGCAU